Molecule: ribosomal RNA, 754 nt
Filed under: Salmonella enterica subsp. enterica serovar Kentucky
Lineage: Bacteria; Pseudomonadati; Pseudomonadota; Gammaproteobacteria; Enterobacterales; Enterobacteriaceae
Description: partial 23S ribosomal RNA
Rfam family: Bacterial large subunit ribosomal RNA
Source: RNAcentral
ACAAAACAAGCGGUGAGUGCUUUGGGGUGGGGUGACUGCGUACCUUUUGUAUAAUGGGUCAGCGACUUAUAUUCUGUAGCAAGGUUAACCGUAUAGGGGAGCCGAAGGGAAACCGAGUCUUAACUGGGCGUUAAGUUGCAGGGUAUAGACCCGAAACCCGGUGAUCUAGCCAUGGGCAGGUUGAAGGUUGGGUAACACUAACUGGAGGACCGAACCGACUAAUGUUGAAAAAUUAGCGGAUGACCUGUGGCUGGGGGUGAAAGGCCAAUCAAACCGGGAGAUAGCUGGUUCUCCCCGAAAGCUAUUUAGGUAGCGCCUCGUGAACUCAUCUUCGGGGGUAGAGCACUGUUUCGGCUAGGGGGUCAUCCCGACUUACCAACCCGAUGCAAACUGCGAAUACCGAAGAAUGUUAUCACGGGAGACACACGGCGGGUGCUAACGUCCGUCGUGAAGAGGGAAACAACCCAGACCGCCAGCUAAGGUCCCAAAGUCACAGUUAAGUGGGAAACGAUGUGGGAAGGCUCAGACAGCCAGGAUGUUGGCUUAGAAGCAGCCAUCAUUUAAAGAAAGCGUAAUAGCUCACUGGUCGAGUCGGCCUGCGCGGAAGAUGUAACGGGGCUAAACUGUGCACCGAAGCUGCGGCAGCGACGCUUAUGCGUUGUUGGGUAGGGGAGCGUUCUGUAAGCCUGCGAAGGUGUCCUGUGAGGGAUGCUGGAGGUAUCAGAAGUGCGAAUGCUGACAUAAGUAACGAUAA